UAUAAUAGUUGGCUUAGUUCCAGCUUUGGGGUUCUUAAGAUUCACCACUUAUGACUGAUUACUCUAAGAAUUGUUGGUAUUUGGUAAUAUAGCCCAUGAACUCCUCACCAGUGCCUGUGUAUGACCAUGCUGCAUUUUUAGAGAUUGCUCGACCAAUUUUGCUUGAUUGUAUGCUUUUAUCAAUGUUUGAGGGCCUAACAUCCUUACCUGCAC
RNAcentral lists this long non-coding RNA (213 nucleotides) under Capsicum annuum. RNAcentral's name for it is "long non-coding RNA (CANN_LNC010265)". The record is from RNAcentral. Lineage: Eukaryota; Viridiplantae; Streptophyta; Magnoliopsida; Solanales; Solanaceae.